This 253-nucleotide ribosomal RNA is filed under the name uncultured bacterium. RNAcentral's name for it is "partial 16S ribosomal RNA". It matches the Rfam family "Bacterial small subunit ribosomal RNA", at positions 524 to 776 of the family's 1533-position model. The record is from RNAcentral.
UACGUAGGGUCCUAGCGUUGUCCGGAAUUAUUGGGCGUAAAGAGCUCGUAGGUGGUGUGUCGCGUCGGAUGUGAAAGCCCGGGGCUUAACCCCGGGUCUGCAUUCGGUACGGGCAUGCUGGAGUUCGGUAGGGGAGACUGGAAUUCCUGGUGUAGCGGUGAAAUGCGCAGAUAUCAGGAGGAACACCGGUGGCGAAGGCGGGUCUCUGGGCCGAUACUGACACUGAGGAGCGAAAGCGUGGGGAGCGAACAGG